Molecule: long non-coding RNA, 5822 nt
Filed under: Mytilus galloprovincialis (Mediterranean mussel)
Lineage: Eukaryota; Metazoa; Mollusca; Bivalvia; Mytilida; Mytilidae
Source: RNAcentral
CAGACAGACGACACUGAUAUUGACAUCAUGAUUCGUGAAGCAAAACGCAAAUUUUAUGGAAGAUAUGAGAUGCAGCUAGAACAAUGUAGGAUAUCUUCAAUCUAGGACACUAAAGACAAGAUGGGUAAGAAUUCAACUUUAAAAUUUUAUUCGAUUAACAUUUCACGAAGGAUUUUUAAAUGCCAUUUCCAAAAUUAUCCACAGGACUCAGCUGGGAGUUUGAAAUCCUAUCAAUAACGGGGUAAACAUACACCAAACUUGAAUAUCACAGUAGAGCUUCACUCGAAUCAAUCUUCUGUGAUUUAUCCAGUUUGACAUGCUUUUUCUUCUUCUCUAAGUAAAUUCCUCCGCAACGGAGCACCCGUGUCACACGAAAUUAAGUUAAGGUUCAUCAUAAGGAAUUGAAAAAUAUGGCCGUGUUUACACCUCCAAAAUUACUAUGAGUACAGACAAACUGGUACAUCCAGGAAAGUUUUAAGGCAUGGCAGGAACACAAUUUUGUCAUGAAUCCAUUUGUGUCCAUUGUUUAAUAUUCACAUAGACCAAGGUGAGCGACACAGGCUCUUUAGAGCCUCUAGUUGAUUAUUGGCCCAGUUUUCAAGUUGGUCCAAAUCAGGAUCCAAAAUUAUUAUAUUAAGUUUUGUGCAAUAGCAAGAAAUUUUCAAUUGCACAGUAUUCAGCAAUAGCAAGAAAUCUUCAAUUGCACAGUAUUGCGCAAUAGCAAGAAAUCUUCAAUUGCACAGUAUUGUGCAAUAGGUGUCAGACCACCAAUUACUCCCUCCAAUUUAGAACGUAAAAGUAGUCCUACUUUGACACAAAAUAGUGCUUUUGAUGUCAUUGUUUACUUAAACUAACCAACAAAUUUGCAGAAAUGAAACUUAUGGUGAAAGGGAAAUAUAUUUAGACCAUUUUGAGCCAAAAUUCACUUGUCUAUGAGUUUGCAUUAAAAAUUCAUGAUUAGUGCGCUCCAUAGUACACUAAUUUAAGAUUUCCAGAAAACCAGGAGUUAUUUUGGUAGUACCUGUCUUUUCAAAAUCAGAAAUUUGUUACAAGACUUUAAACAUUGGUUGAAAAUUGGCAUAUAGGAAGGUGAUACGUGUACAAUUCAGGAUAUACCUGGUUACCUUGAAGUUAAACUUGAGGUAAAAUAUUUAGAAAGCUGUGAAAAUUGCAAAAUUUGGUUGAACAGAUAGGGAUUUUUAAUUGGUGGUCUGACACCUUUAAGGGAAAUGCGUUGAAACCCCAAAUUCAGAAAACAAUUGAUUUUUUGUUCUUAACUGAUCAUAUGAAGUGAUAGUAGUCACAUUUCAAUCUUGUUGGGGGCAAAAAGUCACAUAUUGCAAAUUUAGAGCCUUAGACCUGAAUUUGUGCUAUUUUUAGCUUUUCCCACCCUGACAAUAUGCUUUCACAUAAAAAAAUGUCCCAAAUUGUUAUAAAUGCACAGCAAGAUGUUUCUGUGGUAUUAACAUUAAAACAUGGUUAUUUUACCACCAAACAAUAGCAAGUAUUUUCAAUUGCACAGUAUUGCGCAAUAGCAAGAAAUAUCUAAUUGCACAAUAUUGCGCAAUAGCAAGAAAUUUUCAAUUAGAGUUAUCUUUCUUUGUCCAGAAUAGUAGUUGAAUCAACUUAAAUCAUUGUUUUAUACAAAAUACAAUGUAUAUAUUCACUUUUACUACCAACUGAUAAAUUAAAACAAUCUUUACCAUUCAGUGAUAACAAGCACUUUUUAUACGACCGCAAAAUUUGAAAAUUUUUUCGUCGUAUAUUGCUAUCACGUUGGCGUCGUCGUCCGAAUACUUUUAGUUUUCGCACUCUAACUUUAGUAAAAGUGAAUGGAAAUCUAUGAAAUUUAACACAAGGUUUAUGACCACAAAAGGAAGGUUGGUAUUGAUUUUGGGAGUUUUGGUCCCAAAAUUUUAGGAAUUAGGGGCCAAAAAAGGGCCCAAAUAAGCAUUUUUCUUGGUUUUCGCACCAUAACGUUAGUAUAAGUAAAUAGAAAUCUAUGAAAUUUAAACACAAGGUUUAUGACCAUAAAAGGAAGGUUGGUAUUGAUUUUGGGAGUUUUGGUCCCAACAGAAUAAGGGGCCCAAAGGGUCCAAAAUUAAACUUUGUUUGAUUUCAUCCAAAUUGAAUAAUUGGGGUUCUUUGAUAUGCCGAAUCUAACUGUCAUGACUGUGUAUGUAGAUUCUUAACUUUUGGUCCCGUUUUCAAAUUGGUCUACAUUAAGGUCCAAAGGGUCCAAAAUUAAACUUAGUUUGAUUUUGACAAAAAAUGAAUCAGUUAGGUUCUUUGAUAUGCUGAAUCUAAAAAUGUACUUAGAUUCUUGAUUAUUGGCCCAGUUUUCAAGUUGGUCCAAAUCGGGGUCCAAAAUUAAACUUUGUUUGAUUUCAUCAAAAAAUGAAUAAAUGGGGUUCUUUGAUAUACCAAAUCUAACUGUGUAUGUAGAUUCUUCAUUUUUGGUCCUGUUUUCAAAUUGGUCUACACUAAAGUCCAAAGGUCCAAAAUUAAACUUAGUCUGAUUUUAACAAAAAUUGAAAUCUUGGGGUUCUUUGAUAUGCUGAAUCCAAAAAUGUACUUAGAUAUUUUAUUAUGGGCCCAGUUUUCAAGUUGGUCCAAAUCAGGAUCUAAAAUUAUUAUAUUAAGUAUUGUGCAAUAGCAAGUCUUUUCAAUUGCACAGUAUUGCGCAAUGGCAAGAAAUAUCUAAUUGCACAAUAUUGUGAAAUAGCAAAUUUUUUUUUAAUUAGAGUUAUCUUUCUUUGUCCAGAAUAGUAAGCAAGAAAUAUCUAAUUGCAAAAUAUUGUGCAAUAACAAGAUUUUUUUUUAAUUGGAGUUAUCUUUCUUUGUCCAGAAUCAACUUAAAUCUUUGUUAUAUACAAUAUACAAUGUAUAUUCACUUUUUUACUACCAACUGAUAAAUUAAAAUAAUCUUUACCAUUCAGUGAUAACAAGCAGUUUUUUUACAUCUUAAUAUUUUAUGAUGUAUUUAAAUGAGUAGUUAUUGUUGCAAACUCCAUUAGAAAUUUUAAUUGAGAUUAGUUUUGGAAUAAGGGAAAGGGGGAUGUGAUUAAAAAAAUUGGGUUCAAUUUUUCUCAUUUGAAAUUUCAUAAAUAAAAAAGAAAAUUUCUUCAAACAUUUUUUUGAGAGGAUUAAUAUUCAACAGCAUAGUGAAUUGCUCUAAGAGAAAACAAAAUUUUUAAGUUCAUUAGAACACAUUCAUUCUGUGUCAGAAACCUAUGCUGUGUCAACUAUUUAAUCACUAUCCAAAUUUAGAGCUGAAUCCAGCUUGAAUGUUGUGUCCAUACUUGCCCCAACCGUUCAGGGUUCAACCUCUGCGGUCGUAUAAAGCUACGCCCUGCGGAGCAUCUGGUUUACAUUUUAAUAUUUUAUGAUGUAUUUAAAUGAGUAGUUAUUGUUUCCAAAAAAAUUGAAUUGAGAUCAGUUUUGGAAUAAGGGAAAGGGGGAUGUGAAAAAAAAAGUUGGUGGGGGGGUUUCAAUUUUUCUCAUUUCAGAUUUCAUAAAUAAAUAGAAAAUUUCUUCAAACAUUUUUUUGAGAGGAUUAAUAUUCAACAGCAUAGUGAAUUGCUCAAAGGCAAAAAAAAAAUUUUAAGUUCAUUAGACUACAUUCAUUCUGUGUCGGAAACCUAUGCUGUGUCAACUAUUUAAUCACAAUCCAAAUUUAGAGCUGAAUCCAGCUUGAAUGUUGUGUCCAUACUUGCCCCAACUGUUCAGGGUUCAACCUCUGCGGUAUUAUAAAGCUGGUUAUCAUUAUACUAUGGUUUGUUUUAAUACAAAAAUGUAUAUAAAAUAUUAAUACAACUGUUCAAAAUAUAUAGCAUAUUCCCUCAACCAAUAUAGUGAGUUCAGUAUAAUAUACACUUCUUAGUUUUAUUAUUUGAUUGACAUGAAUUGUUCAUACUGAUAUCUGAAAUAUUUGCCACUGAGACAUUAUGCAGACUGCCUUAUGUAGGCAUUAAAUAUUUAAGGGACUGUUGGUCCAUCUUUCAGUAUUACAUUGGAUGAUGAUUCAAUUUUUGUUUCCUUGUGUUAACUUUAGUUUGCAAUUGCCUCAUGCAAAGGAUUAGGUCCAGUAAGACCCCUUUUUGGCCACAAAUAUAGCAGUUUUACAAAAUUGUUUAAAUGUAAACUUCUAGUUAUUCAUCGUAAAGUAGAAUGCUACUGCAACAUAAAUGUAGGCUGUUUUCAACAAUACCACGCACAUAUAUCGGGUACUAGAAUCAUUAAGUCAUGCUAAAUUACUGAAAUCUUCACAAUUUUAGAAUUUUAGUUAAAUUUUAGACCUUUUUUUGUCUUGAAUGAAAGUGGCCGCAUUGGUGUCCAUUCUUAAAAAUAUUGAAAAGUAAGUUGUAUUUGAUGAUAACACAUAACAUAUAUAAAGGUUGAGGAUGAACACGAAUCAGCCAUUUCAAUUAAUAUUUUAUAGUGUGUCUUUCUAUGUUGUGAUGUUACACUAUUGUUUCAGAUAAGGAUGAAGGUUUGGUACCAUUUAAAAGUUUAAACCCCCUGCAAUUGUGUGUCACCUGUCCUUAGUCAGGAAUCUGAUGUUUAGUAGUUUUCGUUUGUUGAUGUAGUAACUAAUUAAGUUUAUAAGUUUUUCUCGUUUCUUCUUUUUAUACGCCCAUUUAUGCGAGUACAUAUGUAUUAUGGUAUACCGUUGUCUGUCUGUCCAUGGUCAACAUGUUGGACAUUAACUCAUAAAUGCUUAAACCAUUUUGCAUAAAACUUCAGUGAAUUGUUUAUAUCUAUUGACAUGAGCUGCUUUUCAUUUUUUAUAAGGUUUAGAUUUUAAGUUUCUGAGUAACAGGGUUGUUCAUAAAAAAAAGGUGAUUUUCCAGUUUUUAGUCAAUAACUCAAGAAUGUUUUCUCCUACUUGCAAGAAAUUUUGGUGUACUUUUUAUAUCUAUUGACAUGAACUCCCUUUCAUUUUUUAUAAAUUUUAAAUUUCUGAGUUACCAGGUUUUAUAUUCAUAAAAAAGGGUGUUUUUCCAGUUUUCAGUCAAUUUCUCCAGAAUGUUUUCUUUUUCUUCAAUUCUUGCAAGAAAUUUUGGUAAAUUGUUUAUAUCUUUUGACAUGAGAUCCCUUACAAUUUUAUAAUUUUAGAUAUUGGGUUUUUGAGUUACCGGAUUUUAUUCAUAAAAAGAUGGGGAAUUUUCCCAGUUUUCGGACAAUAACUCAAAAAUACUUUCAGCAGCUGUUCUCGUGAAACUUUUGUGAAUUGUUUAUAGCUUUGAUGGAAGCUCCCUUUAGAAUUUUAAAAUAUUAGAUUUUACAUUUCAGAGUUAUGGCAUGGGGUUUUAUUCAUUUAAUAAAGGGAAUUUCCAGUUUUGGACAAUAACUCAAAAAUGCUUGCAGCAAUUCUCAUUGGAUCGUUUUACUCUAGUAGUAAUUUUUUGGGCCCUUUAUAGCUUGCUGUGCAUUGUGAGCCAAAGCUCUAUGUUGAAGACUGUACUUUGACCUUUAAUGGUUUUACUUUUACAUGUUUUAUAAAUUGUGACUUGGAUGAAGAGUUGUCUCAUUGGCACUCAUACCACAUCUUCUUAUAUCUAUCAUCUUCAUUUUGGCUUUCACAUGAACACAUGUGUCUGUAAUUGUAAAGUAAUAUGAAAAUAGUUUCUGUAAAAUUUUUAUGAAAUGGAUUUCUUUUUAUCCUAUAGGCUAGUUAUCAAAUUUGACCUCCCCUAGUAUGUCAGGAAGGUACAUGUACAUGGAUGUUUAAAAAAUUCCACAAAUGGUGAAGAAAAUGGCAAGGGAAGACGCCUAGUAAAUGUUUCAAGUACAAUUCAGCAAUGGUAAGUAUAUUUUUU